CCUACGGGUGGCAGCAGUGGGGAAUAUUGGACAAUGGGGGCAACCCUGAUCCAGCCAUGCCGCGUGUGUGAAGAAGGCCCUCGGGUUGUAAAGCACUUUCAGUGAGGAAGAACGCCUGGUGGUUAAUACCCAUCAGGAAAGACAUCACUCACAGAAGAAGCACCGGCUAACUCCGUGCCAGCAGCCGCGGUAAUACGGAGGUUGCGAGCGUUAAUCGGAAUUACUGGGCGUAAAGCGCGCGUAGGUGGCUUGAUAAGCCGGUUGUGAAAGCCCCGGGCUCAACCUGGGAACGGCAUCCGGAACUGUCAAGCUAGAGUGCAGGAGAGGAAGGUAGAAUUCCCGGUGUAGCGGUGAAAUGCGUAGAGAUCGGGAGGAAUACCAGUGGCGAAGGCGGCCUUCUGGACUGACACUGACACUGAGGUGCGAAAGCGUGGGUAGCAAACAGGAUUAGAGACGAGUAGUC
Molecule: ribosomal RNA, 463 nt
Filed under: Vreelandella stevensii
Lineage: Bacteria; Pseudomonadati; Pseudomonadota; Gammaproteobacteria; Oceanospirillales; Halomonadaceae
Description: partial 16S ribosomal RNA
Rfam family: Bacterial small subunit ribosomal RNA
Source: RNAcentral